This 69-nucleotide transfer RNA is filed under the name Cornufer vitiensis (Fiji tree frog). RNAcentral's name for it is "Platymantis vitiensis (Fiji tree frog) tRNA-Pro". It matches the Rfam family "tRNA". From Rfam's summary of the family: Transfer RNA (tRNA) molecules are approximately 80 nucleotides in length. Their secondary structure includes four short double-helical elements and three loops (D, anti-codon, and T loops). The record is from RNAcentral. Lineage: Eukaryota; Metazoa; Chordata; Amphibia; Anura; Ceratobatrachidae.
CAGGAUGUAGUUUAGAUAGAAUACUGGCUUUGGGAGUCAGAAGCAGAGGUGUGAGUCCUCUCGUCCUGA